RNAcentral lists this non-coding RNA (31 nucleotides) under Mus musculus (house mouse). Lineage: Eukaryota; Metazoa; Chordata; Mammalia; Rodentia; Muridae. The record is from RNAcentral.
GAGAGGUGAUUAGAUGAUGGAUUUUAGAUGU